CAAUAGCGUAUAUUUAAGUUGUUGCAGUUAAAAGGCUCGUAGUUGGAUUUCGGGUGGGACGCAGCGGUCUCGCAUUGCGUUUGUACUGCUGCAGCCCUCCUUCUUGCCGGGGGCGGCCUCUCGGACUUCACUGUCUGGGGGUCAGAAUCGGCGAUGUUACUUUGAGUAAAUUAGAGUGUUCAAAGCAAGCUUACGCUCUGAAUAUAAUAGCAUGGGAUAACACGACAGGACUCUGGCCUAUCGUGUUGGUCUAUAGGACCAGAGUAAUGAUUAAGAGGGACAGUCGGGGGCAUUCGUAUUCCGUUGUCAGAGGUGAAAUUCUUGGAUUUACGGAAGACGAACAUCUGCGAAAGCAUUUGCCAAGGAUGUUUUCAUUGA
RNAcentral lists this ribosomal RNA (378 nucleotides) under uncultured eukaryote. RNAcentral's name for it is "partial 18S ribosomal RNA". It matches the Rfam family "Eukaryotic small subunit ribosomal RNA", at positions 592 to 976 of the family's 1831-position model. The record is from RNAcentral.